GCUCUCUUGGCUCAGGGGUAGAGCGUGGCACUCGUAGAUGCUGGCUAAAUGUGAGCACAGUAGGGAUGCCAAGGUCAUAAGUUCGAAUCUUAUAGGGAGCA
Non-coding RNA from Lineolata rhizophorae, 101 nucleotides. Lineage: Eukaryota; Fungi; Ascomycota; Dothideomycetes; Lineolatales; Lineolataceae. The record is from the annotation of a GenBank genome assembly.